Molecule: ribosomal RNA, 468 nt
Filed under: uncultured bacterium
Lineage: Bacteria
Description: partial 16S ribosomal RNA
Rfam family: Bacterial small subunit ribosomal RNA
Source: RNAcentral
GACGAACGCUGGCGGCGUGCUUAACACAUGCAAGUCGAACGGAAAGGCCCUGCUUUUGUGGGGUGCUCGAGUGGCGAACGGGUGAGUAACACGUGAGUAACCUGCCCUUGACUUUGGGAUAACUUCAGGAAACUGGGGCUAAUACCGGAUAGGAGCUCCUGCUGCAUGGUGGGGGUUGGAAAGUUUCGGCGGUUGGGGAUGGACUCGCGGCGUAUCAGAUUGUUGGUGGGGUAGUGGCUUACCAAGGCAUUGACGGGUAGCCGGCCUGAGAGGGUGACCGGCCACAUUGGGACUGAGAUACGGCCCAGACUCCUACGGGAGGCAGCGGUGGGGAAUAGUACACAGUAGGCGGGAGCAUGGUGUAGCAACGCCGCGUGCGGGAUGACAGGAAGCGGGUAGUAUUGUGAAGUCGUCUGUGCCGAGGCGUGAAUGACGGUACCGGGUAAAUAAGCACCGGCUAACUACGUG